GAGAGCGAGGUGCCCGUCUGAAUAGGCUGCGCGCGAGCGCAUGAACGCCCGACGCUGGUGAUGGUGGGCUUUGGCGGACUGGCCCAGUGGGUGCGUUACAUAUGGUAUCGGAACCCGCAUUGCCGCUGCUGCCUGAGAGAGCUUUGGGCCUCUUAAGGGGGGUGGGAUGUAAGAGGCCGGUAUGCAUGCCCUGGGUUAGUACCACCUCGCCUAGCCAAGGGGGCCGUGUUGCACUUAUAAGGGCGGGUCUCCCUCCUCUCUUAGCCUAGGUUUUGAGAGCGAGGUGCCCGUCUGAAUAGGCUGCGCGCGAGCGCAUGAACGCCCGACGCUGGUGAUGGUGGGCUUUGGCGGACUGGCGACGCUGGUGGUGGUGGGCUUUGGCGGACUGGCCCAGUGGGUGCGUUACAGGUGUACAGUAUUUUCUCUCUCUCGUCGACUAUUUAUUUACCGGACAAUUUCCCUGAAAUCGUACAGGACAUCAUGAGCACCGGAAAGGAGAGCAAAAGCGGGCCGGGAAAAAAAAAAGAAGGGGGCGCAAACCAAUCAAGCGGGCCAAAAGGAAAGCAAGGCGACGAAGGAAUCAGGCAGGCACAGCCACAGCCACCACGACCACUGCUGCAACGCAUUCUCAUUCUCACUCCAAAACCCCAAAAGGAGGGAGGGAGUGAAAACCACCCAGCUGAUGUAGACACGCAUGAAGAACAGCUUCAACUUCAAUAAUGCUGGCAUCAGCAAAGCAAAGCAGACCCGGGCCCCUUUGCAUUAAGGUUCAGCGGUUUCCAUAUAUUAGCACGACUUGAUUCAUCAUUGCGGCCGCCUAAUU
Molecule: long non-coding RNA, 823 nt
Filed under: Zea mays
Lineage: Eukaryota; Viridiplantae; Streptophyta; Magnoliopsida; Poales; Poaceae
Description: long non-coding RNA (ZMAY_LNC000616)
Source: RNAcentral